Molecule: transfer RNA, 85 nt
Filed under: Clonostachys rogersoniana
Lineage: Eukaryota; Fungi; Ascomycota; Sordariomycetes; Hypocreales; Bionectriaceae
Description: tRNA-Leu
Rfam family: tRNA
About the family: Transfer RNA (tRNA) molecules are approximately 80 nucleotides in length.
Source: RNAcentral
GUUCAAAUGAUGAAAUUGGUAAACAUAGUUGUCUAAGACGCAGCUGGCGAUUAUUGCCUUGAAGGUUCGAGUCCUUUUUUGAACA